ACAAACUUGGUCAUUUAGAGGAAGUAAAAGUCGUAACAAGGUUUCCGUAGGUGAACCUGCGGAAGGAUCAUUAAUGAGUUUUGAACGAAGCUGUUCUGGUCUUUCGGGGCAAGUGAACGCUUCACUCAAUCCAUCUUACACCUGUGCACCUUUGGGGGGAAACUGAAAAAGAUUCGAAGUUGGAUAACGACGGAUGAAGCUUUGAUGUUUUCUCUUCUAUAAAAAAUUACAGUCUAUAGAAAGUCUUUAUUGCUUGAUGCAAUAUAAAAUAUUAUACAACUUUCAGCAACGGAUCUCUUGGCUCUCGCAUCGAUGAAGAACGCAGC
This 326-nucleotide unclassified non-coding RNA is filed under the name uncultured fungus. Its description in RNAcentral is "partial contains small subunit ribosomal RNA, internal transcribed spacer 1, and 5.8S ribosomal RNA". The stretch from base 1 to 73 matches the Rfam family "Eukaryotic small subunit ribosomal RNA", at positions 1759 to 1831 of the family's 1831-position model. The record is from RNAcentral. Lineage: Eukaryota; Fungi.